RNAcentral lists this transfer RNA (68 nucleotides) under bovine gut metagenome. The stretch from base 6 to 63 matches the Rfam family "tRNA", at positions 8 to 63 of the family's 71-position model. Rfam says of the family: Transfer RNA (tRNA) molecules are approximately 80 nucleotides in length. Their secondary structure includes four short double-helical elements and three loops (D, anti-codon, and T loops). Further hydrogen bonds mediate the characteristic L-shaped molecular structure. tRNAs have two regions of fundamental functional importance: the anti-codon, which is responsible for specific mRNA codon recognition, and the 3' end, to which the tRNAs corresponding amino acid is attached (by aminoacyl-tRNA synthetases). tRNAs cope with the degeneracy of the genetic code in two manners: having more than one tRNA (with a specific anti-codon) for a particular amino acid; and 'wobble' base-pairing, i.e. permitting non-standard base-pairing at the 3rd anti-codon position. The record is from RNAcentral.
CGCUUUAGCUCAGUUGGUAGAGCAGCGCAUUCGUAAUGCGCAGGUCGCGGGUUCGAGUCCCGUUCGCG